This 154-nucleotide small nuclear RNA is filed under the name Sciurus vulgaris (Eurasian red squirrel). Its description in RNAcentral is "U1 spliceosomal RNA (ENSSVLG00005024927.1)". It matches the Rfam family "U1 spliceosomal RNA". Rfam says of the family: U1 is a small nuclear RNA (snRNA) component of the spliceosome (involved in pre-mRNA splicing). Its 5' end forms complementary base pairs with the 5' splice junction, thus defining the 5' donor site of an intron. The record is from RNAcentral. Lineage: Eukaryota; Metazoa; Chordata; Mammalia; Rodentia; Sciuridae.
GGCGGGGGGGAGGCAGCAGUAGCAACUGGCUCUUUGGGGCAAGACCCUGCCACUGCAUUUCUAGGCUGCACUGACCUCUGUAGUUGAUCCACAGUCAGGAAACUUGACUGCCUAAUUUGUGGUAUUGGGUGGGCUACAUUUGUGUUUUCCCCUG